CUCUACUACACCGACUGACGAAGGAUGAGGAGCGGGCUAGAAGCUGAGGACACGCCCGAGCCGGAGGACACAGGAUCAAGUAAGGAUUGGACUCAAUUGUUUGUUGGACUCUGGAGGAGGCCUACCACAUGGUCAUCACAACUACGUCACGGGGCACGCUCUGGAGAGCACAUAGCACCCACCACUCACCACUGGAUUCCCUCGACUCAACUUCCCCUUUUUUGCCACCAGCACAUUUAUUGUAUAUACUUCACACAUUAAAUUAUUUAAUCUUA
Molecule: long non-coding RNA, 275 nt
Organism: Perca fluviatilis (European perch)
Lineage: Eukaryota; Metazoa; Chordata; Actinopteri; Perciformes; Percidae
Exons: 2
Source: RefSeq, a predicted model, not a curated record